Molecule: ribosomal RNA, 684 nt
Filed under: uncultured archaeon
Lineage: Archaea
Description: bacterial SSU rRNA
Rfam family: Archaeal small subunit ribosomal RNA
Source: RNAcentral
AAUGGUUUUUUGUUUAAAUGUUUUUCGCCUAAGGAUGGGUCUGCGGCCGAUUAGGUAGUUGGCUAGGUAACGGCUUACCAAGCCAUUGAUCGGUACGGGUUGUGAGAGCAAGAGCCCGGAGAUGGAACCUGAGACAAGGUUCCAGGCCCUACGGGGUGCAGCAGGCGCGAAACCUCCGCAAUGUGAGAAAUCGCGACGGGGGGAUCCCAAGUGCCAUUCUUAACGGGAUGGCUUUUCAUUAGUGUAAAGAGCUUUUGGAAUAAGGGCUGGGCAAGACCGGUGCCAGCCGCCGCGGUAACACCGGCAGCUCUAGUGGUAGCAGUUUUUAUUGGGCCUAAAGCGUCCGUAGCCGGUUUAAUAAGUCUCUGGUGAAAUCCUGUAGCUUAACUGUGGGAAUUGCUGGAGAUACUAUUAGACUUGAGACCGGGAGAGGUUGGAGGUACUCCCAGGGUAGAGGUGAAAUUCUGUAAUCCUGGGAGGACCGCCUGUUGCGAAGGCGUCCAACUGGAACGGUUCUGACGGUGAGGGACGAAAGUUAGGGGCGCGAACCGGAUUAGAUACCCGGGUAGUCCUAACUGUAAACGAUGCGGACUUGGUGUUGGGGUGGCUUUGAGCUGCUCCAGUGCCGAAGGGAAGCUGUUAAGUCCGCCGCCUGGGAAGUACGGUCGCAAGACUGAAACUUAA